GAUUUCUCUUCGGUGUGCUAAUCAUGGUCACAGCGACUCUUCAAGAUGAGGGAUCAGGAGCUUGAUAAUCGAAUGUGGACAAUGUGGAACAUCCAGUGGACAGAGAAAAGGGGCGUGGACUCAAGCGACCAGUCACCGUCCUCCAUUCCUUUGGUUUCUUCACCUGACAAGUGCAUCAGAGACUAUGUACCUCGCUUAAAACAGCUAAACCCAUGUCAACUAAAAGUCCAGUCCUGCACUCUGAGAACUCAUGAUGUGAUGCAAAUACACAGAUGCUCAAGUCAGAAGAGGUUUCUGUCUCAUUGUCACCUUGGAAAGAUGGUUCAUCAUCUGAGCCUUGUGGCCCAGUGGACAGUGAAGGUGAUGAUAAUACUUACCUUGCUUCUUAUGAAAAUGAGCAGGACCAUCACACAUAAAUUUCUUUGAGAAUAAGUUAUACAACUGUUACACAUGACAAUGAAUAUUCAUAAGCAGGAAAGGCAAGGGAAAUUCACAUUUAUAAGCUAAUGAUUAUGAAGCGCUUCCUGAGUAAUUUGAACAAGAGUUACAUGGAUCAUUCCAUUAAUUUAAACAAGAGCCUUUAGGGGGCUGGUACCUUUAUCAUCUCCAGUUUAGAUGAAGAGACUGACACCCAGAGAUUUUAAGUAACAGACAGCAAAUGGCAGGGUCAGAAUAUCAAGUCUUGGUAAUUUAGUGCCAGCAGUGAGCAUUUUAACACCAGAUGCCUCAACACCACCUGAAGGUCUGGAUACAACAGACAUUGCUGAGUCCCACCCCAAAGGUUCUGAUUCAGUAGCUUUGAGAAUUUGGUUUCUAAGACGUUCCCAGGUGACGCUGAUGCUGCUGGACUGGGGGCCACACGGUGAGAAUUCUGUCACACAGAGCUCUCCUGGUACUUCCUGCCCCAUCAGUGUCUAAAUCAGGACCUCUGAGGCCUGUUUGCACAGGUGAGCUGGACAUCUGUGUGCACAAGGUAUUUGAUUUAUGUCAUGAAGGCAUUUGCUACACUAAUGGGCAAAAUAGAUAAGGAUGCUGAGGAGACUGACUUCAGAAGCAAAGUGAGAGAAGUUGCUCAGUGCUUGAUGGCUCUGCUGCUACCCAAAUCGUUGUAGCUCUGGCUACUCAGACCCUUCCCCAGAGCUGGCCAGGGGAGGGGAGGCCAUUGUCUGAGGAAGACACAGAGAACAGACUCACAGCUGGCUUCCUUGGCUUCCCUCAGUUUUGCCCUUUUAGCAGGUCACACUCUCAGAUUUCAGAAAUCUAUGAAUGGAGAGAUAAGACAUAACUUGCAAGAAGAGAAAGCAUAGGCCAAGAAGAUGUAAACUUAAUAGACGGGAAACAGUGGAAACAGUGUCAGACUUUAUUUUUGGGGGGGCUCCAAAA
This 1383-nucleotide long non-coding RNA is filed under the name Capra hircus (goat). Its description in RNAcentral is "lncRNA (ENSCHIG00010006959.1)". Lineage: Eukaryota; Metazoa; Chordata; Mammalia; Artiodactyla; Bovidae. The record is from RNAcentral.